Molecule: ribosomal RNA, 253 nt
Filed under: uncultured bacterium
Lineage: Bacteria
Description: partial 16S ribosomal RNA
Rfam family: Bacterial small subunit ribosomal RNA
Source: RNAcentral
UACGAAGGGUGCAAGCGUUACUCGGAAUUACUGGGCGUAAAGCGUGCGUAGGUGGUUUGUUAAGUCUGUUGUGAAAGCCCCGGGCUCAACCUGGGAAUGGCAAUGGAUACUGGCAGGCUAGAGUGCGGUAGAGGGUAGUGGAAUUCCCGGUGUAGCGGCGAAAUGCGUAGAGAUCGGGAGGAACACCAGUGGCGAAGGCGGCUACCUGGACCAGCACUGACACUGAGGCACGAAAGCGUGGGGAGCAAACAGG